RNAcentral lists this ribosomal RNA (460 nucleotides) under uncultured bacterium. RNAcentral's name for it is "partial 16S ribosomal RNA". It matches the Rfam family "Bacterial small subunit ribosomal RNA", at positions 338 to 795 of the family's 1533-position model. The record is from RNAcentral.
CCUACGGGAGGCAGCAGUGAGGAAUAUUGGUCAAUGGGCGCGAGCCUGAACCAGCCAAGUAGCGUGAAGGAUGAAUGCCCUACGGGUUGUAAACUUCUUUUAUAAAGGAAUAAAGUGAGGCACGUGUGCCUUUUUGUAUGUACUUUAUGAAUAAGGAUCGGCUAACUCCGUGCCAGCAGCCGCGGUAAUACGGAGGAUCCGAGCGUUAUCCGGAUUUAUUGGGUGUAAAGGGAGCGUAGAUGGGUUUUUAAGUCAGUUGUGAAAGUUUGCGGCUCGACCGGAAGAUUGCAAUUGAUACUGGCAGCCUUGAGUACAGUUGAGGUAGGCGGAAUUCGUGGUGUAGCGGUGAAAUGCUUAGAUAUCACGAAGAACUCCGAUUGCGAAGGCAGCUUACUAAACUGCCACUGACAUUGAUGCUCGAAAGUGUGGGUAUCAAACAGGAUUAGAUACCCUAGUAGUC